RNAcentral lists this long non-coding RNA (1047 nucleotides) under Fukomys damarensis (Damara mole-rat). Its description in RNAcentral is "lncRNA (ENSFDAG00000022394.1)". Lineage: Eukaryota; Metazoa; Chordata; Mammalia; Rodentia; Bathyergidae. The record is from RNAcentral.
AUUACAAAGCACUUUCCACAGGGAACAGAUUUCCAGUCAGCAUCCCACAAGGCCAUUAAGGAGCAGGUUCAGAAGGCUCCUUUUUCAAAAAAGAAUCCUGUUCCAGGCAGAGUAUAGCUGCUACUUGGGCUUUGAUCAUAAGGGAUCUGACCUCAGUUUCUCCUUAGGAAGCAACAAAAUGUCCCUACAUUUAUAUACCCUGGACCAUUCUGUUUGGCAAAUGCAGUGGCUUUGCUUAGAUUCAGAUUUUUUUUUUUUUUGCUAUGAUUUCUUCUUUUCAGAAAAUUUAACUGUGAUUUAUAUAAUUCCCUUCCAGAAGACCUGGAUUCAAGCCGUAGGAUGGGAGUGGACAGCUGGUGUGACUCUUCCUUGCCUUAUAGAAGCGGUCACUUGCUACUUCUACUCCUCACCACAUGGACCACCUCCCACUCUCCAGGACCUCCGGUUUUCCCAUUUCACACCUCUCCAGCUUUUUCCCCAGGUAAUUCUCUCUAUUGAAAUUCUAUUGAAAAACCUCAAAUAUCUUAAAUGCCUAUUAGGGAGAGGGGAAUGGAGAGCAAGGGGGAAUAUUACAAUCAGAAUACUACCACUUUGCAAGUCCUAAACAAGAGCUUCAGAGAAAGAGGGAUGACAAAGGCAGAGUAGGAAAAGAUUGAUGUGGCAAUUGUGUUCACUUUGGUCCAUUAGGGGAAGAGGGAAAUCUGUAGACAAUGCUGAGGUACCAUUCAUUUCCACACUGUAGACAAUGCUGAGGUACCGUUCAUUUCCACAGUAAAUCUUUUGGCUGUGCAAGGUAGAUAUGUAUUUAAUCAUAUGUUUAUUUUACUUAGUGCUUUAUAAGGCAUUUUGGUAUUAUAAUAAUGAAAAUUCGUUUGUGCCGGCACUUUCUUGGAAAAGAGUUUAAAGUACCUUCAGAGAUGCAUAAAAUGUAACAAUAUGUUCUGUACUUUAAAACAGCCAAACAUAUCUGGCAAAAUAAUACAUGCAAUCCUCUUUGAUUGAGGAAAGCCACUUCUAGAAACUUAUACUUAAGAUAUACUGGCGAAC